Molecule: ribosomal RNA, 245 nt
Filed under: uncultured bacterium
Lineage: Bacteria
Description: partial small subunit ribosomal RNA
Rfam family: Bacterial small subunit ribosomal RNA
Source: RNAcentral
AGAAUCAACGCUGGCGGCGUGCCUAACACAUGCAAGUCGAACGAGAAAGUGGAGCAAUCCAUGAGUAAAGUGGCGCACGGGUGAGUAACACGUGACUAACCUACCCUUGAGUGGGGAUAAACCUAGGGAAACCUGGGCUAAUACCGCAUAAUACCUUCGGGUCAAAGGAGCAAUUCGCUUAAGGAGGGGGUCGCGGCCGAUUAGUUAGUUGGCGGGGUAAUGGCCCACCAAGACUGUGAUCGGUA